RNAcentral lists this transfer RNA (67 nucleotides) under Lachnaia pubescens. RNAcentral's name for it is "tRNA-Trp". Lineage: Eukaryota; Metazoa; Arthropoda; Insecta; Coleoptera; Chrysomelidae. The record is from RNAcentral.
AAGGAUUUAAGUUAAGCAUAAACUAUCAACCUUCAAAGUUGACAAUAGAGCAAUUUUCUAAGCCUUA